GUCGGACUUUAUCUGUGACAAAGUGGUGUUCAAAUUGACUGGAAUAUUACAAGUAGUUAUUUACCACCCCCCACAUGGAGAUGGUUGAAUGCCAGCUAACCCUUUGGUUGCCAAGCUCCUCAUGUAUCACACCAGUUGCCUAAUUGCUGUCAUGCUGACACUGUUAAUAUCAUCUUAAAUUUGAGCAAUUAGAGUACAGAAUACUUCUUAAAAAUGAAGACGACGGGGUUCUAUUACUUGUUGAUUUUACUAUUUUUUGUCACUAUUGGAAGCUGUUCCAACUCAAAUCCUUCGAGAUCGGACGACUUGAACUGUAAAUUAGAAUGCGAAGCCAGAUUUCGAAACCGUCUCGUUUGCAGCGGCGAGUUCACUGCAGACCUUGAUGACCCAAACACAAUUAACGGGUGCAGGUGCUACUGUCUUAAUAAUCGAUUUAGUUGUGAUGCAACGCAAGCUUGUUACGGAGUUUAGCUAUCAAAUUUUAUUGAUUACGAAGCAUUUAAAUAAAUAAAAUAAGGAAUUCUUAAAUGA
This is a long non-coding RNA of Folsomia candida, 531 nucleotides long. RefSeq lists it as uncharacterized. NCBI's taxonomy places the organism in Eukaryota, Metazoa, Arthropoda, Collembola, Entomobryomorpha, Isotomidae. The record is from RefSeq and is a predicted model, not a curated record. The transcript has 3 exons.